AUCGAUGAAGAACGCAGCGAAAUGCGAUAAGUAAUGUGAAUUGCAGAAUUCAGUGAAUCAUCGAAUCUUUGAACGCACAUUGCGCCCCCUGGUAUUCCGGGGGGCAUGCCUGUUCGAGCGUCAUUUCACCACUCAAGCCUCGCUUGGUAUUGGGCAACGCGGUCCGCCGCGUGCCUCAAAUCGACCGGCUGGGUCUUCUGUCCCCUAAGCGUUGUGGAAACUAUUCGCUAAAGGGUGUUCGGGAGGCUACGCCGUAAAACAACCCCAUUUCUAAGGUUGACCUCGGAUCAGGUAGGGAUACCCGCUGAACUUAAGCAUAUCAAUAAGCGGAGGAAAAGAAACCAACAGGGAUUGCUCUAGUAACGGCGAGUGAAGCAGCAAUAGCUCAAAUUUGAAAUCUGGCGUCUUCGACGUCCGAGUUGUAAUUUGUAGAGGAUGCUUCUGAGUAACCACCGACCUAAGUUCCUUGGAACAGGACGUCAUAGAGGGUGAGAAUCCCGUAUGCGGUCGGAAAGGUGCUCUAUACGUAGCUCCUUCGACGAGUCGAGUUGUUUGGGAAUGCAGCUCUAAAUGGGAGGUAAAUUUCUUCUAAAGCUAAAUAUUGGCCAGAGACCGAUAGCGCACAAGUAGAGUGAUCGAAAGAUGAAAAGCACUUUGGAAAGAGAGUUAAAAAGCACGUGAAAUUGUUAAAAGGGAAGGGAUUGCAACCAGACUUGCUCGCGGUGUUCCGCCGGUCUUCUGACCGGUCUACUCGCCGCGUUGCAGGCCAGCAUCGUCUGGUGCCGCUGGAUAAGACUUGAGGAAUGUAGCUCCCUCGGGAGUGUUAUAGCCUCUUGUGAUGCAGCGAGCGCCGGGCGAGGUCCGCGCUUCGGCUAGGAUGCUGGCGUAAUGGUCGUAAUCCGCCCGUCUUGAAAC
RNAcentral lists this ribosomal RNA (915 nucleotides) under uncultured Ascomycota. Its description in RNAcentral is "eukaryotic LSU rRNA". The stretch from base 278 to 915 matches the Rfam family "Eukaryotic large subunit ribosomal RNA", at positions 1 to 660 of the family's 3401-position model. Lineage: Eukaryota; Fungi; Ascomycota. The record is from RNAcentral.